CUAUCAUUAACUGAAUCCAUAGGUUAAUGAGGCGAACCGGGGGAACUGAAACAUCUAAGUACCCCGAGGAAAAGAAAUCAACCGAGAUUCCCCCAGUAGCGGCGAGCGAACGGGGAGGAGCCCAGAGCCUGAAUCAGUGUGUGUGUUAGUGGAAGCGUCUGGAAAGGCGCGCGAUACAGGGUGACAGCCCCGUACACAAAAAUGCACAUGCUGUGAGCUCGAUGAGUAGGGCGGGACACGUGGUAUCCUGUCUGAAUAUGGGGGGACCAUCCUCCAAGGCUAAAUACUCCUGACUGACCGAUAGUGAACCAGUACCGUGAGGGAAAGGCGAAAAGAA
RNAcentral lists this ribosomal RNA (337 nucleotides) under Escherichia coli. RNAcentral describes it as "partial 23S ribosomal RNA". It matches the Rfam family "Bacterial large subunit ribosomal RNA", at positions 148 to 523 of the family's 2925-position model. The record is from RNAcentral. Lineage: Bacteria; Pseudomonadati; Pseudomonadota; Gammaproteobacteria; Enterobacterales; Enterobacteriaceae.